AACGAACGCUGGCGGCAGGCCUAACACAUGCAAGUCGAACGCCCUGGCAACAGGGAGUGGCAGACGGGUGAGUAACGCGUGGGAACGUGCCCUUCGGUUCGGAAUAACUCAGGGAAACUUGAGCUAAUACCGAAUACGUGCGAGAGCAGAAAGAUUUAUCGCCGAAGGAUCGGCCCGCGUCCGAUUAGCUAGUUGGUGAGGUAAUGGCUCACCAAGGCGACGAUCGGUAGCUGGUCUGAGAGGAUGAUCAGCCACACUGGGACUGAGACACGGCCCAGACUCCUACGGGAGGCAGCAGUGGGGAAUAUUGGACAAUGGGCGCAAGCCUGAUCCAGCCAUGCCGCGUGAGUGAUGAAGGCCCUAGGGUUGUAAAGCUCUUUCGCCAGGGACGAUAAUGACGGUACCUGGAUAAGAAGCCCCGGCUAACUUCGUGCCAGCCGCCGCGGUAA
This 449-nucleotide ribosomal RNA is filed under the name uncultured bacterium. Its description in RNAcentral is "partial 16S ribosomal RNA". It matches the Rfam family "Bacterial small subunit ribosomal RNA", at positions 29 to 523 of the family's 1533-position model. The record is from RNAcentral.